GCUGCCUUGACAUGAAUUGCAGAUUCUCCUUUCUCCUUUUGAGAGGAGUUUAGGGGGAUGAAAGCAGAUGCAGACAAACGCAGAUGGAGCCCAGAAGCCAAAUAGCAUGAGGCUCAGCACUGCAGAGAGGAUUUGGCAUCUUCACAGUGUUUUAAGGAAGAAAGAACAUCAGACUCCUGUUUUGGAAUGACUUUCUAUCAGCAG
Molecule: long non-coding RNA, 204 nt
Filed under: Fukomys damarensis (Damara mole-rat)
Lineage: Eukaryota; Metazoa; Chordata; Mammalia; Rodentia; Bathyergidae
Description: lncRNA (ENSFDAG00000022456.1)
Source: RNAcentral